This 257-nucleotide ribosomal RNA is filed under the name uncultured bacterium. RNAcentral describes it as "partial 16S ribosomal RNA". It matches the Rfam family "Bacterial small subunit ribosomal RNA", at positions 524 to 776 of the family's 1533-position model. The record is from RNAcentral.
UACGGAGGAUCCAAGCGUUAUCCGGAUUUAUUGGGUUUAAAGGGUGCGUAGGCGGCCUGUUAAGUCAGGGGUGAAAGACGGUAGCUCAACUAUCGCAGUGCCCUUGAUACUGAUGGGCUUGAAUUGACUAGAGGUAGGCGGAAUGUGACAAGUAGCGGUGAAAUGCAUAGAUAUGUCACAGAACACCAAUUUGCGAAAGGCAGCUUUACUAUGGUAUGAUUUGACGCUGAGGCACGAAAGCGUGGGAUCAAAACAGG